This 253-nucleotide ribosomal RNA is filed under the name uncultured bacterium. Its description in RNAcentral is "partial 16S ribosomal RNA". It matches the Rfam family "Bacterial small subunit ribosomal RNA", at positions 524 to 776 of the family's 1533-position model. The record is from RNAcentral.
GACGGAGGAUGCAAGCGUUAUCCGGAAUUAUUGGGCGUAAAGCGUACGUAGGCGGCUUAUCAAGUCUGGGGUCAAAGACCACAGCUUAACUGUGGAAAGGCCUUGGAAACUGGUGAGCUGGAGUGAGGUAGGGGUUGCGGGAAUUCCCGGUGUAGCGGUGAAAUGCGUAGAUAUCGGGAAGAACACCAGCGGCGAAAGCGCGCAACUGGGCCAUUACUGACACUGAGGGACGAAAGCUAGGGGAGCGAAUGGG